GCCAGCCGCCGAAGGUGGGACAGAUGAUUGGGGUGAAGUCGUAACAAGGUAGCCGUAUCGGAAGGUGCGGCUGGAUCACCUCCUUUCUAAGGA
RNAcentral lists this ribosomal RNA (93 nucleotides) under Bacillus subtilis. RNAcentral's name for it is "partial 16S ribosomal RNA". It matches the Rfam family "Bacterial small subunit ribosomal RNA", at positions 1448 to 1533 of the family's 1533-position model. Lineage: Bacteria; Bacillati; Bacillota; Bacilli; Caryophanales; Bacillaceae. The record is from RNAcentral.